RNAcentral lists this transfer RNA (32 nucleotides) under Crenadactylus ocellatus. RNAcentral's name for it is "partial tRNA-Cys". Lineage: Eukaryota; Metazoa; Chordata; Lepidosauria; Squamata; Diplodactylidae. The record is from RNAcentral.
GAAUUGCAAAUUCAAAGACGUUACCGAGAGGU